This 57-nucleotide transfer RNA is filed under the name Triticum aestivum (bread wheat). It matches the Rfam family "tRNA", at positions 9 to 63 of the family's 71-position model. Rfam says of the family: Transfer RNA (tRNA) molecules are approximately 80 nucleotides in length. Their secondary structure includes four short double-helical elements and three loops (D, anti-codon, and T loops). Further hydrogen bonds mediate the characteristic L-shaped molecular structure. tRNAs have two regions of fundamental functional importance: the anti-codon, which is responsible for specific mRNA codon recognition, and the 3' end, to which the tRNAs corresponding amino acid is attached (by aminoacyl-tRNA synthetases). tRNAs cope with the degeneracy of the genetic code in two manners: having more than one tRNA (with a specific anti-codon) for a particular amino acid; and 'wobble' base-pairing, i.e. permitting non-standard base-pairing at the 3rd anti-codon position. Lineage: Eukaryota; Viridiplantae; Streptophyta; Magnoliopsida; Poales; Poaceae. The record is from Rfam by way of RNAcentral.
AGUCUAGGUGGUUAGGAUACUCGGCUCUCACCCGAGAGACCCAGGUUCAAGUCCCGG